This 391-nucleotide unclassified non-coding RNA is filed under the name soil metagenome. RNAcentral describes it as "partial contains 5.8S ribosomal RNA, internal transcribed spacer 2, and large subunit ribosomal RNA". The stretch from base 1 to 122 matches the Rfam family "5.8S ribosomal RNA", at positions 35 to 154 of the family's 154-position model. The record is from RNAcentral.
GAUGAAGAACGUAGCGAAAUGCGAUACUUGGUGUGAAUUGCAGAAUCCCGUGAACCAUCGAGUCUUUGAACGCAAGUUGCGCCCGAAGCCAUUAGGCCGAGGGCACGCCUGCCUGGGCGUCACACGUCGUUGCCCCCCCAUCUACUCCUUCGGGAUUGCGGGGGGCGGAUGAUGGCCUCUCGUGCGCCUCGUCGCGCGGUUGGCCUAAAUGCCAAGUCCUCGGCGACGCACGCCACGACAAUCGGUGGUUGCGAAACCUCGGUUGCCUGUCGUGUGCGGUCGUCGCGCAUCGAGGGCUCGAAAAAAUUGCCGGGCUUCGGCUCGACUUUCAGCGCGACCCCAGGUCAGGCGGGGUUACCCGCUGAAUUUAAGCAUAUCAAUAAGCGGAGGA